AAAUAUAAAAUUAACUACACCAUUAAAACAGAAAUCCACGGAUAAAACAAUAACACUAGCUAUAAUUUAAAUUUUCGGUUGGGGCGACCACGGAGAAAAAAUAAUCCUCCGAGAUAAUAGUUUAGAAUUACACUUCAAGAAUUAAAACAUUUAUUAUAAAUGAUCCACUAAGUGACCAACGAACCAAGUUACCCUAGGGAUAACAGCGCAAUCCUUUCUAAGAGUCCAUAUCGACGAAUGGGUUUACGACCUCGAUGUUGGAUCAGGACAUCCUAAUGGUGCAGCCGCUAUUAAA
RNAcentral lists this ribosomal RNA (295 nucleotides) under Notophthalmus perstriatus (striped newt). Its description in RNAcentral is "partial 16S ribosomal RNA". The stretch from base 199 to 295 matches the Rfam family "Bacterial large subunit ribosomal RNA", at positions 2473 to 2569 of the family's 2925-position model. The record is from RNAcentral. Lineage: Eukaryota; Metazoa; Chordata; Amphibia; Caudata; Salamandridae.